CCUGCCAGAGGUUACUGCUAUCGAGGUUCGACUAAGCCAUGCGAGUCGAAUGUAGCAAUACAUGGCGUACUGCUCAGUAACACGUGGACAACCUACCCCUCCGGACGGGUAUAAACCCGGGGAAACUGGGGUAUAAUCCCCGAUAGAUCUCGGUCGCUGGAAAGCCCCGAGAUCGAAAGCUCCGGCGCCAGAGGAUGGGUCUGCGGCCUAUCAGGUAGUAGUGGGUGUAGCGUACCUACUAGCCUACGACGGGUACGGGUUGUGAGAGCAAGAGCCCCGGAGAUGGAUUCUGAGACACGAAUCCAGGCCCUACGGGGUGCAGCAGGCGCGAAAACUUUACAAUGCCGGCAACGGCGAUAAGGGGACCUCGAGUGCCAGGUUACAAAUCUGGCUGUCGUGAUGCCUAAAAAGCAUUGCAUAGCAAGGGCCGGGCAAGACCGGUGCCAGCCGCCGCGGUAACACCGGCGGCUCGAGUGGUAACCGUUAUUACUUGGGUCUAAAGGGUCUGUAGCCGGCCGGAUAAGUCUCUUGAG
RNAcentral lists this ribosomal RNA (533 nucleotides) under uncultured archaeon. RNAcentral describes it as "bacterial SSU rRNA". It matches the Rfam family "Archaeal small subunit ribosomal RNA", at positions 13 to 546 of the family's 1478-position model. The record is from RNAcentral.